This 655-nucleotide ribosomal RNA is filed under the name Lactiplantibacillus plantarum. RNAcentral's name for it is "bacterial SSU rRNA". It matches the Rfam family "Bacterial small subunit ribosomal RNA", at positions 371 to 1017 of the family's 1533-position model. The record is from RNAcentral. Lineage: Bacteria; Bacillati; Bacillota; Bacilli; Lactobacillales; Lactobacillaceae.
AUGGACGAAAGUCUGAUGGAGCAACGCCGCGUGAGUGAAGAAGGGUUUCGGCUCGUAAAACUCUGUUGUUAAAGAAGAACAUAUCUGAGAGUAACUGUUCAGGUAUUGACGGUAUUUAACCAGAAAGCCACGGCUAACUACGUGCCAGCAGCCGCGGUAAUACGUAGGUGGCAAGCGUUGUCCGGAUUUAUUGGGCGUAAAGCGAGCGCAGGCGGUUUUUUAAGUCUGAUGUGAAAGCCUUCGGCUUAACCGAAGAAGUGCAUCGGAAACUGGGAAACUUGAGUGCAGAAGAGGACAGUGGAACUCCAUGUGUAGCGGUGAAAUGCGUAGAUAUAUGGAAGAACACCAGUGGCGAAGGCGGCUGUCUGGUCUGUAACUGACGCUGAGGCUCGAAAGUAUGGGUAGCAAACAGGAUUAGAUACCCUGGUAGUCCAUACCGUAAACGAUGAAUGCUAAGUGUUGGAGGGUUUCCGCCCUUCAGUGCUGCAGCUAACGCAUUAAGCAUUCCGCCUGGGGAGUACGGCCGCAAGGCUGAAACUCAAAGGAAUUGACGGGGGCCCGCACAAGCGGUGGAGCAUGUGGUUUAAUUCGAAGCUACGCGAAGAACCUUACCAGGUCUUGACAUACUAUGCAAAUCUAAGAGAUUAGACGUUCC